Molecule: ribosomal RNA, 961 nt
Filed under: Acidothrix acidophila
Lineage: Eukaryota; Fungi; Ascomycota; Sordariomycetes; Amplistromataceae
Description: eukaryotic LSU rRNA
Rfam family: Eukaryotic large subunit ribosomal RNA
Source: RNAcentral
AAGCGGAGGAAAAGAAACCAACAGGGAUUGCCCCAGUAGCGAAGCGGCAAGAGCUCAGAUUUGAAAUCUGGCCCCCCGGGUCCGAGUUGUAAUCUGCAGGGGAGCCUUGGCUGCGGCUGCUAAGUCCCUGGAACGGGCGCCAGGAGGGUGAGAGCCCCGUGGGUGGCCGCGGGUCUGUAUGCUCCUCCGACGAGUCGAGUAGUUUGGGAAUGCUGCUCUAAACGGGAGGUAAUCCUUCUAAAGCUAAAUACCGGCCGGAGACCGAUAGCGCACAAGUAGAGUGAUCGAAAGGUGAAAAGCACUUUGGAAAGAGAGUGAAAAGUACGUGAAAUUGUUGCAGGGGAAGCGCUUGACCAGUCGCGGCCGGGGCCCAGCCGUGUUCCUCGCGGCGCGCGCCCCCGGUUCGGGUCAGCACCGGCUCGCGGGAAGGUCGGGAACGUGGCCCCCUCGGCGGGGUGUUAUAGCCCGGUCCGCGGGGGGCCGAGGAUCCGCGCCGGCCAGGGUGCUGGCAUAAUGGUCAUCAGCGUCCCGUCUUGAAACACGGACCAAGGAGUCACAUUUGCGAGUGUUGGGUGUAAACCCGCCGCGAAUGAAAGUGAAUUUUCGGGUAGGAACCCCGGGUGCACUACCGACCGGGCCCGAAGCUCUGCGGAGGGACCUGAGUAGAGCGAGUGGACCCGAAAGAUUGCGAACUAUGCUGGUAGGGUGAAGCCAGAGGAAACUCUGGUGGAGGCUCGCAGCGGUUCUGACGUGCAAAUCGAUCGUCAAACUGGCAUGGGGGCGAAAGACUAAUCGAGCAAUCUAGUAGCUGGGUGCCGCCGAAGUUUCCCUCAGGAUAGCAGUGUUGGUCUCAGUUUUAUGAGGUAAAGCGAAUGAUUAGGGACUCGGGGGCGCUUUUAGCCUUCAUCCAUUCUCAAACUUUAAAUAUGUAAGAAGCGCCCGUUCUUAGCUGAACGGGCGC